Molecule: transfer RNA, 539 nt
Filed under: uncultured cyanobacterium
Lineage: Bacteria; Bacillati; Cyanobacteriota
Description: partial 16S-23S ribosomal RNA intergenic spacer
Rfam family: tRNA (bases 124-197)
Source: RNAcentral
CAGGGAGACAACAAAAUGUAAAUAUUAAUUUUGUCACCUUAGGUCGAUCGGUACCUCAGAUUCUUAAUUAUUAAGAAUUUCAGUCUCUAAGUUUUUUCUAGGUCACACCCAUUACUUUUCCCUGGGCCAUUAGCUCAGGUGGUUAGAGCGCACCCCUGAUAAGGGUGAAGUCCCUGGUUCAAGUCCAGGAUGGCCCAUAUCUCUAUGUUGGAAAUAUAGCUCAGUUGGUAGAGCGCCUGCUUUGCAAGCAGGAUGUCAGCGGUUCGAGUCCGCUUACCUCCACUGAUCACCACCUCUUCCAUAACCGGUAGAAAGGAAAUUUUUUGAGUUGUGAUCAAAUUCUGAAAGAAUCUAGCUUCCUAAUGAAAUCAUUAAGAUGCUGGACUCAUUGAAUUAAUUUCAUUGUUUUCAGAGAACCUUGACAACUGCAUAGAUUAUUUUUAAAGACAAUAAGCAUCUUUAAUGAUGCAGAUUUAUUAUUUGUGCAAAUGCAUUAAUAACAAUUCUAUUAAGCUGAUGCUUCAAUUUUUGAAGUUAUU